AGUGAACGCUGGCGGUAGGCCUAACACAUGCUAGUCGAACGGCAGCACAGUAAGAGCUUGCUCUUACGGGUGGCGAGUGGCGGACGGGUGAGGAAUACAUCGGAAUCUACUUUUUCGUGGGGGAUAACGUAGGGAAACUUACGCUAAUACCGCAUACGACCUACGGGUGAAAGCAGGGGAUCUUCGGACCUUGCGCGAUUGAAUGAGCCGAUGUCGGAUUAGCUAGUUGGCGGGGUAAAGGCCCACCAAGGCGACGAUCCGUAGCUGGUCUGAGAGGAUGAUCAGCCACACUGGAACUGAGACACGGUCCAGACUCCUACGGGAGGCAGCAGUGGGGAAUAUUGGACAAUGGGCGCAAGCCUGAUCCAGCCAUACCGCGUGGGUGAAGAAGGCCUUCGGGUUGUAAAGCCCUUUUGCUGGGAAAGAAAAGCAGCAGGUUAAUACCCCGCUGUUCUGACGGUACCCAAAGAAUAAGCACCGGCUAACUUCGUG
Molecule: ribosomal RNA, 492 nt
Filed under: uncultured bacterium
Lineage: Bacteria
Description: partial 16S ribosomal RNA
Rfam family: Bacterial small subunit ribosomal RNA
Source: RNAcentral